Molecule: ribosomal RNA, 468 nt
Filed under: uncultured bacterium
Lineage: Bacteria
Description: partial 16S ribosomal RNA
Rfam family: Bacterial small subunit ribosomal RNA
Source: RNAcentral
GACGAACGCUGGCGGCGCGCCUAACACAUGCAAGUCGAACGGAGGCAAGAGGAGCUUGCUUUUCUUGACUUAGUGGCGAACGGGUGAGUAACGCGUGAGUAACCUGCCCUGGAGUGGGGGACAACAGCUGGAAACGACUGCUAAUACCGCAUAAGCCCACGAAUCUGCAUGGUUCUGCGUGAAAAGGGGUUAUUCUCUCUAGGAUGGACGCGAGCCCACUUCAUUAGUUAGUUAGGUAACGAGCCACCAAGGAGACAAAUGAUAGACUGACAGAGAGGUUGGGCCGACACACUGGGACUGGGACACGGCCCAGACUCCUACGGGAUGCAGGAGUGGGGGGUAUUGCAACAUGGCGUAAACCCUGAUGCAGCGACGACGCGUGGAGGAAGAAGGUAUGCGGAUUGUAAACUGCAGUCGUCAGUGACGAUCAUGACGGUACCUAAUAAGAAAGCCACAGCUAACUACGUG